CUGAUGACUUCAUUCCCAAAUAUGAUUCGUGAAUUAGUCCAAGACCGGUACAGAGGUGACGUUCUCAUGAAAGACUCCCAAGUUGUUAAAAAACUCUGUCAUCCUCACCAAGAUAUCUCUGUGCCUUCCCUGUUUCUUCCAUGCCAUCCCUGAUGAUUGGAAUGCCCUUUCCAGAUCUGUUCGCCAAGUCUCCGCCUUUGCCUAAUUCAAACCACUCCUAAA
Malaclemys terrapin pileata is the source of this 222-nucleotide long non-coding RNA. RefSeq lists it as uncharacterized. The transcript has 3 exons. The record is from RefSeq and is a predicted model, not a curated record. Lineage: Eukaryota; Metazoa; Chordata; Testudines; Emydidae.